This 367-nucleotide ribosomal RNA is filed under the name uncultured bacterium. RNAcentral's name for it is "bacterial SSU rRNA". It matches the Rfam family "Bacterial small subunit ribosomal RNA", at positions 109 to 507 of the family's 1533-position model. The record is from RNAcentral.
CGUAACGCGUGGGAAUCUCGCCCGUUGGGUUCGGAAUAACUCAAGAGUAAAUUUGAGCUAAUACCGGAUGAUGACGAAAGUCCAAAGUAUUUAUCGCCCAGGGAUGAGCCCGCGUAAGAUUAGCUUGUUGGUGGGGUAAUGGCCUACCAAGGCGACGAUCUUUAGCUGGUCUGAGAGGAUGAUCAGCCACACUGGGACUGAGACACGGCCCAGACUCCUACGGGAGGCAGCAGUGGGGAAUAUUGGACAAUAGGCGCAAGCCUGAUCCAGCAAUGCCGCGUGAGUGAUGAAGGCCUUAGGGUUGUAAAGCUCUUUACCAGGGAUGAUAAUGGCAGUACCUGGAGAAUAAGCUCCGGCUAACUCCGUG